Molecule: ribosomal RNA, 301 nt
Filed under: uncultured bacterium
Lineage: Bacteria
Description: partial 16S ribosomal RNA
Rfam family: Bacterial small subunit ribosomal RNA
Source: RNAcentral
CAGCAGCCGCGGUAAUACGUAGGGUGCAAGCGUUGUCCGGAAUUAUUGGGCGUAAAGGGCUCGCAGGCGGUUUCUUAAGUCUGAUGUGAAAGCCCCCGGCUCAACCGGGGAGGGUCAUUGGAAACGGGGAAACUUGAGUGCAGAAGAGGAGAGUGGAAUUCCACGUGUAGCGGUGAAAUGCGUAGAGAUGCGGAGGAACGCCCGUGGCGAAAGCGAGGUCCUGGACGUUUUCUGACGCUGAGACGCGAAAGCUAGGGGAGCGAACGGGAUUAGAUACCCCUGUAGUCCCUGUCUCUUAUAC